UGGAUUGUAGUUUAUUAAAACGUGUAAUUUGCAAUUACAAAAAACUGUAUUAGUCUAUCUAA
RNAcentral lists this transfer RNA (62 nucleotides) under Aleurocanthus camelliae (camellia spiny whitefly). RNAcentral's name for it is "tRNA-Ala". Lineage: Eukaryota; Metazoa; Arthropoda; Insecta; Hemiptera; Aleyrodidae. The record is from RNAcentral.